This 190-nucleotide ribosomal RNA is filed under the name Anseongella ginsenosidimutans. The record is from RNAcentral. Lineage: Bacteria; Pseudomonadati; Bacteroidota; Sphingobacteriia; Sphingobacteriales; Sphingobacteriaceae.
UCAGGUGCCUACAGCGGCGGUGUCCACCUCUUCCCAUCCCGAACAGAGAAGUUAAGCCCGCCUGCGCCGAUGGUACUGCGGUAACACGUGGGAGAGUAGGUCGGUGCCGGAUAUUAUUGAAGAAAGGCUGUUGCUGCAAAGGCAACAGCCUUUUCUUGUUUAUAGCGCCCUAUAGCCCGCCGCUGCCAGG